This 417-nucleotide ribosomal RNA is filed under the name uncultured bacterium. RNAcentral's name for it is "bacterial SSU rRNA". It matches the Rfam family "Bacterial small subunit ribosomal RNA", at positions 29 to 430 of the family's 1533-position model. The record is from RNAcentral.
AACGAACGCUGGCGGCGUGCCUAACACAUGCAAGUCGUGCGAGAAAGUUCCUUCGGGAGCGAGUAAAGCGGCGCACGGGUGAGUAACACGUAGGUAACCUGCCCCCCAGUCUGGAACAACUAGAGGAAACUCUAGCUAAUGCCGGAUGAGACCACGAUCCCUUCGGGGGUUGCGGCCAAAGAUGGCCUCUACUUGUAAGCUAUCGCUGAGGGAUGGGCCUGCGGGCCAUUAGCUUGUUGGUGAGGUAACGGGCUCACCAAGGCUGUGAUGGCUAGCUGGUCUGAGAGGAUGACCAGCCACACUGGGACUGAGACACGGCCCAGACUCCUACGGGAGGCAGCAGUGGGGAAUAUUGCGCAAUGGGCGAAAGCCUGACGCAGCGACGCCGCGUGGGUGAUGAAGGCCUCGGUCGGUAAG